GGUCAAGUGAAGAAGCGCAUACGGUGGAUGCCUUGGCAGUCAGAGGCGAUGAAAGACGUGGUAGCCUGCGAAAAGCUUCGGGGAGUCGGCAAACAGACUUUGAUCCGGAGAUGUCUGAAUGGGGGAACCCAGCCAUCAUAAGAUGGUUACCUUACACUGAAUACAUAGGUGUAUGGAGCGAACCAGGGGAACUGAAACAUCUAAGUACCCUGAGGAAAAGAAAUCAACCGAGAUUCCCUUAGUAGUGGCGAGCGAACGGGGACUAGCCCUUAAGUGGCUUUGAGAUUAGCGGAACGCUCUGGAAAGUGCGGCCAUAGUGGGUGAUAGCCCUGUACGCGAAAAUCUCUUAGUCAUGAAAUCGAGUAGGACGGAGCACGAGAAACUUUGUCUGAAUAUGGGGGGACCAUCCUCCAAGGCUAAAUACUACUGACUGACCGAUAGUGAACUAGUACCGUGAGGGAAAGGCGAAAAGAACCCCGGAGAGGGGAGUGAAAUAGAUCCUGAAACCGUAUGCGUACAAGCAGUGGGAGCCCACUUUGUUGGGUGACUGCGUACCUUUUGUAUAAUGGGUCAGCGACUUAUUUUCAGUGGCGAGCUUAACCGAAUAGGGGAGGCGUAGCGAAAGCGAGUCUUAAUAGGGCGUCUAGUCGCUGGGAAUAGACCCGAAACCGGGCGAUCUAUCCAUGGGCAGGUUGAAGGUUGGGUAACACUAACUGGAGGACCGAACCGACUACCGUUGAAAAGUUAGCGGAUGACCUGUGGAUCGGAGUGAAAGGCUAAUCAAGCUCGGAGAUAGCUGGUUCUCCUCGAAAGCUAUUUAGGUAGCGCCUCAUGUAUCACUGUAGGGGGUAGAGCACUGUUUCGGCUAGGGGGUCAUCCCGACUUACCAAACCGAUGCAAACUCCGAAUACCUACAAGUGCCGAGCAUGGGAGACACACGGCGGGUGCUAACGUCCGUCGUGAAAAGGGAAACAACCCAGACCGUCAGCUAAGGUCCCAAAGUUAUGGUUAAGUGGGAAACGAUGUGGGAAGGCUUAGACAGCUAGGAGGUUGGCUUAGAAGCAGCCACCCUUUAAAGAAAGCGUAAUAGCUCACUAGUCGAGUCGGCCUGCGCGGAAGAUGUAACGGGGCUCAAACCAUACACCGAAGCUACGGGUAUCACGUAAGUGAUGCGGUAGAGGAGCGUUCUGUAAGCCUGUGAAGGUGAGUUGAGAAGCUUGCUGGAGGUAUCAGAAGUGCGAAUGCUGACAUGAGUAACGACAAUGGGUGUGAAAAACACCCACGCCGAAAGACCAAGGUUUCCUGCGCAACGUUAAUCGACGCAGGGUUAGUCGGUCCCUAAGGCGAGGCUGAAAAGCGUAGUCGAUGGAAAACAGGUUAAUAUUCCUGUACUUCUGGUUAUUGCGAUGGAGGGACGGAGAAGGCUAGGCCAGCUUGGCGUUGGUUGUCCAAGUUUAAGGUGGUAGGCUGAGAUCUUAGGUAAAUCCGGGAUCUUAAGGCCGAGAGCUGAUGACGAGUCGUCUUUUAGACGACGAAGUGGUUGAUGCCAUGCUUCCAAGAAAAGCUUCUAAGCUUCAGGUAACCAGGAACCGUACCCCAAACCGACACAGGUGGUUGGGUAGAGAAUACCAAGGCGCUUGAGAGAACUCGGGUGAAGGAACUAGGCAAAAUGGCACCGUAACUUCGGGAGAAGGUGCGCCGGUGAGGGUGAAGGACUUGCUCCGUAAGCUCAUGCCGGUCGAAGAUACCAGGCCGCUGCGACUGUUUAUUAAAAACACAGCACUCUGCAAACACGAAAGUGGACGUAUAGGGUGUGACGCCUGCCCGGUGCCGGAAGGUUAAUUGAUGGGGUUAGCUAACGCGAAGCUCUUGAUCGAAGCCCCGGUAAACGGCGGCCGUAACUAUAACGGUCCUAAGGUAGCGAAAUUCCUUGUCGGGUAAGUUCCGACCUGCACGAAUGGCGUAACGAUGGCGGCGCUGUCUCCACCCGAGACUCAGUGAAAUUGAAAUCGCUGUGAAGAUGCAGUGUAUCCGCGGCUAGACGGAAAGACCCCGUGAACCUUUACUAUAGCUUUGCACUGGACUUUGAAUUUGCUUGUGUAGGAUAGGUGGGAGGCUUUGAAGCGUGGACGCCAGUCUGCGUGGAGCCAACCUUGAAAUACCACCCUGGCAACUUUGAGGUUCUAACUCAGGUCCGUUAUCCGGAUCGAGGACAGUGUAUGGUGGGUAGUUUGACUGGGGCGGUCUCCUCCUAAAGAGUAACGGAGGAGUACGAAGGUGCGCUCAGACCGGUCGGAAAUCGGUCGUAGAGUAUAAAGGCAAAAGCGCGCUUGACUGCGAGACAGACACGUCGAGCAGGUACGAAAGUAGGUCUUAGUGAUCCGGUGGUUCUGUAUGGAAGGGCCAUCGCUCAACGGAUAAAAGGUACUCCGGGGAUAACAGGCUGAUACCGCCCAAGAGUUCAUAUCGACGGCGGUGUUUGGCACCUCGAUGUCGGCUCAUCACAUCCUGGGGCUGAAGCCGGUCCCAAGGGUAUGGCUGUUCGCCAUUUAAAGUGGUACGCGAGCUGGGUUUAGAACGUCGUGAGACAGUUCGGUCCCUAUCUGCCGUGGACGUUUGAGAUUUGAGAGGGGCUGCUCCUAGUACGAGAGGACCGGAGUGGACGAACCUCUGGUGUUCCGGUUGUCACGCCAGUGGCAUUGCCGGGUAGCUAUGUUCGGAAUAGAUAACCGCUGAAAGCAUCUAAGCGGGAAACUAGCCUCAAGAUGAGAUCUCACUGGAACCUUGAGUUCCCUGAAGGGCCGUCGAAGACUACGACGUUGAUAGGUUGGGUGUGUAAGCGCUGUGAGGCGUUGAGCUAACCAAUACUAAUUGCCCGUGAGGCUUGACCAU
This 2892-nucleotide ribosomal RNA is filed under the name Pseudomonas fluorescens. Its description in RNAcentral is "23S ribosomal RNA". It matches the Rfam family "Bacterial large subunit ribosomal RNA". The record is from RNAcentral. RNAcentral also lists the same sequence under 2 other names. Lineage: Bacteria; Pseudomonadati; Pseudomonadota; Gammaproteobacteria; Pseudomonadales; Pseudomonadaceae.